UUCGGUCGAGAAGACCUACGUCCACGGGGGUUUUGGGGGUUUUCCACUAUAAUUGAGAGAGUAUUUUACAAUUUACAAGUUGUAGGCUAAGAAAUGACUAUAUCUUAGAAUGAGAGCUAAAAGGAGCUAUUUAUAGGAAAGGGAGAAAGUAAGGGCCCAUUAACCCACUAGCCCUAAAUAAUUGGGCCCAAGCCCCUAUUACAUGAGCUUCGCUCUUUAAUCGAACCGAGAGUCGAGCUGCGCUGCUGUAGUAAUUCCCUGUCAAGUCCAACUGAACCAAAUAUUAAUAAUAAUAAUAGCAUUAAUAAUAAAGAUAAAAGGAAAAUACUAUAGCCCUGUUUAGCACAGCGUUGGUGCAUAUUUCAGUCCUCAUCAGCUACUCCCCCCAAGUCUGGUUGAACCGGGUAUUCUUCGUGUUCAGCCAGCGAAGUAUUGUUAAAGCUAGCGCUGUGCUGUUUUCCUUAAUCCCUGCAAAUCAUGAAGACAUAAGAGUUUUAAUACUGUAAGAAAGCAAAGAUAAGCAUUUUCCCCUUGACUUUGGAAUUGUAGUUCCAAGUUAGAUUUCCUUCUUGUUUGUUGAAUGUUGACAAAGAUAAAUAAUUUCCAUUUCUUUGGGCGCAUAAGAAGACCAGCGCUGAGAAUACCCCAUAUUGAAUACUUUGCAUAGAUAAGCAAUAUAAAUGCUUUGUGUUGGAUGAAUCAGAAGACCGUUGCAAGAAUACCCGAAUAACAUAGGAAGACCCAUGUCGAAGUUGAGAAAUAUGAUACUCUGAUCAUGUGAGAAAACCCGUCAUAAAUAUUUGUCGAGUCUGAACAAUAUACCCUGUUGUUGAGCGCGUAAGAAAUCCAGCGCGUGAGAAGACCAAUAGAUAAUCCGCGCGUAAGAAAACCAGCGCAUGAGAAGACCGAUGGAUGACAGUAGCACGCCAAAAGGCGGCUUAUUUCUCGCUGAGCAGCGAUUAGAAUAGAUCAAAGCAGCCCAUAGAGCAGAGGCGCAAAAUAGUGUAGCCCGUAGAGUAGAGCAGAGCAUCCCAUAGAGUAGGGUAGAGCAGCCACAGAGUAGCGAAGAGCAUUGAAAUCACGGCAGAGCAUUGGAAUCAUGGCAGAGCAUUGAAAUCACGGCAGAGCAUUGAAAUCACGGCAGAGCAUUGAAAUCACGGCAGAGCAUUGAAAUCACGGCAGAGCAUUGAAAUCAUGGCAGAGCAUUGAAUCCACGGCAGAGCAUUGAAUCAACUGGCAGAGCAUUGGAAUCACGGACGGUGGCAGAGCAUUGGGAUCACGGACGGUGGCAGAGCAUUGGGAUCACGGACGGUGGCAGAGCAUUCCUCUGCUGCUUCCCUCCUUUGUAUGCAUUCCUUUGCUGCUUCCCUCCUUUGUGUGCAUUCCUUUGCUGCUUCCCUCCUUGCCGGCUGGAACACUCUGCGCGGAGCAUGGAAGACCCGGGGGGUGCAACCAACUUUCGCGGCUUACGAUUAAACAGUAACCCUCUGCGCGGAGCAUGGAAGACCCGGAGGGUGCAACCAACUUUCGCGGCUUACGAUUGAACAGUAACCCUCUGCGCGGAGCAUGGAAGACCCCGGGGGUGCAACCAACUUUCGCGGCUUACGAUUGAAUAGUAACCUCUGCGCGGAGCAUGGAAGACCCGGGGGGUGCAACCAACUUUCGCGGCUUAUGAUUGCUUGUUUCUCUCUGCGCGGAGCAUGGACGGGCCGGGUGGCACAACCAACUUUCGCGGCUUUACGAUUGUCAGUAACCCCUCUGUUCUGGUUGAGCGUGACCCCUCUGCUCUGGUGGAGCGUAAUUCCUCUGGUUUGCCCUAGUCUUGCUGAGAAGCAAUUUUGAAUUUGAAAAUUGGGGACUACGGGUAUACACCCUACUCCCCCCUCUGGUGACAUGUGCAAUACUCUGUUAUGAACAUGUUAAGUGUGUGUGUGUUUGGUGCUCAUGCUUGUGAUGAUUGUGAGAGAGUUAGCAUAACUACAAUUCCCAAGUAACAUAAUUCAAGUUGCAGUUCAAGCCCUAGCACAUAUGCAGAAGGUGUGCAGCUUCGUGUAUUUAGUCAAUUCAUAAUCCAGCCCUAGGCACAUAUGCAGAAGGUGUGCAUCUUCCAAGACAUAAUUAUUAUUGCAUAAAUUCCAGCAUAGAUCAUAUAAGUCAUGGUUUUGCCCAAGUAAAGAAGUAGAAUAUUUCCCAAAUCCCUAUCAUGCUUACAUGUUCCCAUAAAAUACCCUAAGAUCAUAAUUUACCUAGUGAUAAAGCAUAAUACUCCCCAACAUGCUCACAUGCUUCCACGAGAUAAAGUUCAGCGAAGUACCUGAAUUACCACUUACAAGUGGUUUACCGUUUUCAUGCUAUGGCGGUUCCCAUGUUUGUUCAAGCUUUCCCAAAUUUAAUUGCCCUGUGCUACAAGAUCUCUUAGGCACAGAUAUUAGUAUAAAUAUGAAAGCCCCUUUAAGACAAGGCUGUAAAGAGAAUUCAAACCCUAGAUUAUAUAAUCCAUUGCCACAACUUGAUUCCCAUAAAAGAUCAUAUACCGAUGAAUUCAUUCAAAUUUUCAAAUCCCAUCAAAGAUCAUAUAAAUCAUGAUUUUGCCCAAGUGAUAAAAUAUCACAUAUCCCAAUCAUGCUCCUCCCAUUGAUAGAGUUCAGCGAAAUACCUGAAUUACCACUUGCUAGUGGGUUACCCUGUUUUACAUUAUGGUAUUUACCAUAAUUGUUCAAAUCAUUCCCCAAAUUUGUUUAUCCUGUGCUACAAAAGUUCUUAAGCACAUAUAUAUUAGUAAAGUAUGAGAGCCCUUAGUAGAUAGGGCUGUAANCGCGGCUUACGAUUAAGAGAACACCCUGCACGGAGCAUGGAAGACCCGGGGGUGCACCAACUUUCGUGGCUUACGGUUAAGAGAACACCCUGCACGGAGCAUGGAAGACCCGGUGGAUGCAACCAACUUUCGUGGCUUACGGUUAUUGGAACAACUCGCUAAACAGCGAUUAACACUCAUUUGCUCCCUCCCGAGUGAAUGCUGAUUGUGGGUGUACACCCUACUCCCCCCUCUGGCGACAUGUGCAUGCCUCGCAAAAACAUGUCAAGUGUGUGUGUUUGGUGCUCAUGCUUGUGAUGAUUGUGAGAGAGUUAACAUAACUACAAUUCCCAAGUAACAUAAUUCAAGUUGCAUUUCAAGCCCUAGCACAUAUGCAGAAGGUGUGCAGCUUCGUGUAUUAAUAAUAUCAUAUUUCAAGUCUAAGCACAUAUGCAGAAGUUGUGCAGCUUCCAAGAUGAUGUUUUGAUUGCAUAAAUCCCAUCAAAGAUCAUAUAAGUCAUGAUUUUGCCCAAGUAAAGAAGUAGAAUAUUUCCCAAAUCCCUAUCAUGCUUACAUGUUCCCAUAAAAUACCCUAAGAUCAUAAUUUUACCUAGUGAUAAAGCAUAAUACUCCCCCAACAUGCUCACAUGCUUCCACGAGAUAAAGUUCAGCGAAGUACCUGAAUUACCACUUACAAGUGGUUUACCGUUUUCAUGUUAUGGCGGUUCCCAUGUUUUGUUCAAAGCUUUCCCAAAUUUAAUUGCCCUGUGCUACAAGAUCUCUUAGGCACAGAUAUUAGUAUAAAUAUGAAAGCCCCUUUAAGACAGGGCUGUAAAGAGAAUUGGAACUCUAGAUUAUAUAAUCUAUUGCCACAACUUGAUUCCCAUAUUCAAAUACCGAUGAAUUCAUUCAAAUUUUCAAAUCCCAUCAAAGAUCAUAUAUUAUGCCCGAUUGUUAAAGUAUAACAUAUCCCAAUCAUACUCUUCCCAUUGAUAGAGUUCAGCGAAAUACCUGAAUUACCACUUACUAGUGGUUUACCCUGUUUUACAUUAUGGUAUUUACCAUAAUUGUUCAAAUCAUUCCCCAAAUUUGUUUAUCCUGUGCUACAAAAAUUCUUAAGCACAUAUAUAUUAGUAAAAUAUGAGAGCCCUUAGAGAUAGGGCUGUAAAUCAAUUAACAAGUAAAAAAGUGUACGCUUUGCUUUUCCCAAGUAACAGUGCCGCCCUAAACAUUUAUUCCACCGAAUAAAAGUUAUGAGAAUCCCCAAAAAUGACACAUAAAUUAGAAUAUUUGUGUCCCAAUGGCUGAAAUUCACAAUCCUGAAAUCACGAUUCUCAAAGAGAAAGUAUAAUGGAUAAACAAUAAUUAUUUGUCAGUGCAUAUGAUAUGAAACCACGAAUUCAAAAAUGUCUUUAACCCAAAAACCCAUGUCAUGGUUAGUCUUUUUUGUGAGUAUGUUCAACAGCCCUGUCUUGAUGCUAUAACAUUCCCCAAAAAUUGAGCCUAGGACCCGAGCAAGUAACUAGCGGAGCUGUCAUUUGUCCCCUUGUCAGGAGCUCCCAUUAAUAAACCAUAUUUGGUCUUGGCUAGGCAAUCGUAGUGCUUUCAACAACGAGCAAGUGUUGAAAUAUCCGUCUUGGUGGCCCUGAACUCACAAUGCGACAGGGCUAAGUUAGUGCAACAAAAUGAUCGAAUCAAUCCCCAAAAUCAGAGCAAAAAUGAAACAAGAAUUGCAAAAAUCAGAUCAAAAGCAAUAUCAGUCCCGGAAUAAAAGCAAAACCAUUAUUCUCUGAUUUCCAUCCUGUAUAUACUAUUUCUUUUCUUCCUUAAUAAAUAAACAAAUUCCUUUUCUACUCAUUGCGUAGUGCCAGCAAUUUCCAGAUUAAACCAAAGCAGCACAAACCGAAAGUAUCUCUCUGUGGUGCAUUUCUUGAGUUGAUGACAGACCCCUCAAGUAGAUAUAAGAUUUUUAGCAGGAAACAAACACCAUAGAUGAAAAUAUAUAACGCAAAGACAUUCACAAAUCAAGUCAUAGUAAUUUACUAAAUCAAAGUUUGAUCCCGACAGAACAUCAUAGAUCACUCGAGGAAUUAGAUUUCCUUUUAUACUCCACAGUGAAAGGUUUGAAUUCAGUAAACUGCUAUCCGAGGCCCAGUUUAAAAGUAUAAGCAUAUAGUUAAACAUAAUUUCUAGUUAAACAGAGUUUCUGCAACAACAUACUUCAAAAUGCCCUCUAAAGCCCGGGAUCAUUACCAAUUCCCAACAUAGUACCAGAUGCAAAACGGAGAGUAUCAAUAUCAUUCCCAAAUAUCCUCAUUGAUUACAACAAACACCUCUCAGCACAUUUAACCUCAAAGUAUAUAUUAUAUCUAUUUCACACACAUUACACAGUAAGGAAAAUCAAGAUUUUAGAGUAGAGUAAAUUUGGACUUAGCUUUUAGAAAGGAGGGGCACUGCCCCGUUUCCGUCGAGCUAGAAAGCGAGCGGCGAAUUUCGCCGAUGUCAUGACCCAUCAUCGAUGGCAGCCCUUGCUGAUUUUCAUCGACAUACAGCUCCAUUUUUGGAACCUAGGCCGACGGCACGACGGCGCAUCGAACCAGAGGCGCGGUGACACCGCGUUCGCCGGUCUUCCAGUUGCGGCGGCAGCGGAUUUGGCGUAGAAGGGGUUGGAUGUGGCGGCCUGCAGCCGGCGGUUGAUGUGGAGUGUGAUUUCAGAAUUCCAAUUGGGGCUUUUCGACCUAGCCCUGAUGAACUCGAUGAUAGAGGGUUUCGAUUUUGGAAUCUGAUUUUCUAAUUUUGUGAUUUCCGAUUGGAGGUUGAAUUGCUCUUUGGAAUUGGGAUGAAGCAGGCUGGAUUUGUGCCCAGCGGCGGCAUACGCUGGAGUCCUGAGGUGGCAAUGGCUGCCGGAGAAUUAUGGAGCAGAGAGAUGGGCGACCAUUGUCCUCGGAAAACUGGAUCCCGCCGGAGAAGAGGAUGAGAUCUGAUUUUGGGAAUAUUAGAUUUCCUUUUUCGGGGAAAAAAGACGAGACUGAGAUUUGGUGAGAGAGAGAGUGGCGGUCGGAUUCCCUCGCGACGGCGCUGGCCGGAAUUCGAGAUGGUGGUAGUCGAUCCAAUUCGAGAUGCUAAUGCUCCGACUGUGAAAAUCGAGAUCUGAAAAUUUUUCUCUUCGUCCUAAGAAUAGUAAUGAACAACCACCUCCCAAUGAACAGUAACUUCAAUUCCCCAAUUUUUGCGAUGAACAAUAACCAAAUCCCCAAUUUUCCAAAAUAUUCGAUGAACAGUAAUCGGUGAUGAACAGGAACUCCCCCAAUUUGUUUUUUGUAAGCUCGUCGGAACUCACGACGUAGCUCCGAUCCUUUCCCACAGAUGGCGCCAGUUGGUGAAACGAGAAACUAACACCUAAACUAGAAAGCAGUAAACGACAUCGGAUUUACGUGGUUCGGUCGAGAAGACCUACGUCCACGGGGGUUUUGGGGGUUUUUCCACUAUAAUCGAGAGAGUGUUUUACACUUUACAAGUUAUGGCUAGAAAAAAUGACUAUCUCCCUUUAAUCUAUGCAUCAAGGCCCUAUUUAUAAGCAUGAACAUAAACUUAAGGCCCUUGGGCCCACUAGACCCCUAAAGCCUAAUAGCCCAAUGAAUCCAGCCCAAGUCCCGUUAUUCUAAUCUACAUCUUGAAAUUGAGCCAUCAGAGCUGGAAAGCGAAGCCAAGCUGAGCUAAGCCGAGAGUCAGGGCAAUCCUGUAUCAAAUAUCAGAAAUAAUCACAAUAACAAUAAUAAUAAUAAUGAUCAUAACUAGAAAUAUUCCCGUUAUGUUUAGCACAGCGCUGGUGCAUAUUUCAGUCCUCAUCA
Molecule: long non-coding RNA, 6645 nt
Filed under: Salvia miltiorrhiza (redroot sage)
Lineage: Eukaryota; Viridiplantae; Streptophyta; Magnoliopsida; Lamiales; Lamiaceae
Description: long non-coding RNA (SMIL_LNC006927)
Source: RNAcentral